This 8319-nucleotide unclassified non-coding RNA is filed under the name Neodiprion pinetum (white pine sawfly). RNAcentral describes it as "transcription factor SOX-4-like, transcript variant X2". Lineage: Eukaryota; Metazoa; Arthropoda; Insecta; Hymenoptera; Diprionidae. The record is from RNAcentral.
GGGAAGUCAGUAGCUUAUGUGCGCUCGUGAUGCGAGGGUCGUUUUCGUUGCGUUUUAGAGGCGGCGGUAAUAAUGUCACCACAUGUCAGUUACUGUAUUAGAAUACGACAACAGAUCGUUACAGUGAGAAGAAGAAUAUCGUAGAACGCGACUCGCGAUCGUUGUUACGAGUUAACGUUUCGGUUUGUUCGAGAGAAGUUUGUUUUACUUUUGUUUGUUUUGUUUUUUUUUUUCUUUGGUUUUUUUUUUUUUAAUUUUUUUUUUACUUCGCUUCUCACACACGCGCACCAACUUUGUUCAUCCACCGACCGGCUUUGAUUUUUCACUUUUUCUUUCGCUUGAUUCGCGGCAGACGAAAAUUACUGCCUCGUCGAUAAAGGAGAGGAGGGAAAGUGAGGAAAACAAAACAAAAAAAAAAAAAAAAAGAAGGAAAAUCGACUUCUGCUCCCGAUCGAUCAUCUGCCGACGGAAUUUCUUUUUUUUUUCUUGGACUCAGCGUUGUUGCGUGACCGGAGAGAUUUCUUCGAAAGGGAGAGAGAAAAGGGGAAUGCUCAACGUCGUGUUUUCAACAUCCGUCCUCUGCAACGUACGAGGAGAAGAUAAACAAAACAGAAACAAAAGAAGACAAGAUCAAAUCGUCGAUUAUACGAUCGAACAAUUGCCGCGCGCGGAUUUUUGAAUAAUCUGUUAUCCGCUCAGUUUUAUUCUCGCGGGACAGAUCUCGGCGAUCCGAUAUAUUAUUAUUGUACAUUGUUGUUGUUGUUUAUAAAUCAUCACGCGCAGCGCACAGGAGUUGCUGUUUUUACGUUUCAAGUUCUUUUCGAUUGUUACGAACGCUUUGCUUAAGAAUCGAGAACGUUGAAAUUUCCCCCAAAGAAACGCGGUGAAAAUUAACCACGUGUAAUCAACGGACGGGUGAAAAAUACUUUGCUCAAAAUCCCACCUCAAAAAUCAUCGUGUAACGCUUAAACAAUAAGAAAAACAAAACAAAAAAAAAAAAAAAAAAACUACGAGAAACAGUGAAUGUAUGUAUAUAAAAAUACAUAUACGAUGAAUAAAAUACGUUACAACAAGAAGCUGGCAUUCGACGCGUAAAAGAGAGAAAAAAAGAAGAGCGAAAGGAGUGUACUUUUUUUCUGUGCUUCGAAUUAUGAAAUAACUGCAUCCUUGCGUGUGUCGAUACUGCGUAAUGUAAUUACAAUUUAAAAGUAAAAGUGAAGUGAAAAGUAAAGUUGAAUAGAGAGAGAUAAAUAGAGUCGCCGUAAUCGGAGGUCUCGUUAUUUCUUGUUGAUUACGAAGAAUACAUAAAAUUCGAAUCAGAACGCGUAAUAAAUAAGUUAAAAUGGUGCCGCAACAGCAGGACAGCCCUUCAAGCUCGGGGAUUCCCCUUUUCGGAUCGCAGCUUGUGGAUAAAAAUUCGCCGACACCUUACUCGGACGCUACUCAGACUAAAAAGAACAACCCAAACCACGUAAAACGUCCGAUGAACGCGUUCAUGGUGUGGUCGCAGAUCGAGCGUAGAAAAAUCUGCGAGGCACAGCCGGACAUGCACAACGCGGAGAUAAGCAAGAGGUUGGGUAGACGUUGGAAGACGUUGGACGAGGCCGAGAGGAAACCUUUCAUAGUGGAGGCUGAGACCCUUCGUCAAUACCAUAUGACGGAGUAUCCGGACUACAAGUACAGGCCGCGAAAAAAGACAACGAAACCAGCGCCGUCCCCGAAGGCCAAAGACGCGCCUAAGAAGACCUCGAAGAAGCAGCAACAACAGCAGCAACAACAGUCCGCGACGUCCGGGGUGACGAAGAUCCAGCACAAGAACGACUCCAACAACAACAGCAGCCUUCAGACACCCGUAAAGAGGCUCCAGUCGGUACCGACAACGAGUCCUCUGUCUAGGCUAAAGGCCAGACUGGCCCUGGACAAGCGGGGCUCCGUUUACACACCGACACCACCGACAAUAACUGCCAAGGUGCCGAACAGCCCAUCUUGCGACACCCGGUUCCCCGACUCGCCGGAGUCGGCGAGCUUUUACGAGGACGCUUACGCCGAUUGUACUUCGAUCGCGACGCCGUCGAAGGUGAAGCGGGAGGGUGAUAUCAAGCAGGAGGUCGUCGAGCUUCCAGAGUUCACCUGCGGCGCCGACACCAUCGUGGCGUCGAGCCCGAUAAGGCCAUUUUCGGAGAUAAGGAACUACCCGAGGAACUCCGUGCUAUCCUCGAGUUCCUGCUCGUCCUCGUCCUCCACCACCACCUCCGUCUCCGCCUCGUCCUCGACGUCCUGCAAGGGUUUCCCCGUCAAGGAGGAACCACUCGAGGCUGCGGCUACGGCCACCAGCACCGGAUCAACGACGACCGGAUGCUCGGCUUCGACACCGGUUGUUAAAAUGGAGGAGAGCACGAACCCCCUUGCCGACCUCGACUGUCUCACCGAUCUCUUCCAAAUUCAACCCUGUGACUUCAAGCUCGAUCUCGACAUCGACACCAUAGCCACCGAUCUCGACUCGUUUGAAACCGACAGCUCAAGCAGCGGGUCACAUUUCGAAUUCUCAUGUACACCCGACGUUACGGACAUGCUUUCCGACAUCGGUGUCGACAAUGAGUGGGUCUCGUACUGAUCGGGGAUGGUUCUUCAUCUUCUUGCGAUAUAUGUUUCUUUUUCUUUCUUUUUUUUUUUUUUUUCCUUUUAUACACAGUAUAUAUAUUAUACAUACGUAUAUACAUAAACAUAACAAACCUCGAUAAGUCAAGUAACAAAAAUAUUAUAUAUAUUGGUAUAGAUUGUAUGAUAUAAGUUGAAGUUCAGUUACGGUGAACUAUAUAUAGGAUGGAUAAGAAAGACGCGCGUCGAGUUUUAAGUUGUGUAGAUUAUUAUUAUUAUUAUUAUUAUCAUUAUUAUUAUUAUUAUUAAUAUUAUUAUCGUAUUAAGGUAUGUAUAUUGUGUACAAGUCAAUGUUAAGAAGCUGCCGUUUGAUCUCUUUGCUUCGAUAUCGGUAGAGGGAAAGAAAGAAGGAAAGAAAUAUAGAGGGGAAAGUGAGUGAGAAAGCCGAGGCUUUUUGUUCUCUUGUUAGGAACCUCCGCCAACCUUAGCCAUCGCUUUGAACAAAAAUGUAACAAGCUCCGAUAACUCACGUUUUGGAUUGGUGGAAAAAUUUCGUCGCUGUGCAGAUUUUAAACUUGAGCCAUGAUGCGGUAGUUUCGAUGUAUAAUCGUUUCGUGCCGUGGGUACCGGAAGGUAAAGUUUUUCCAAAGUUCUCGCGAGUCGGGUGAAAUUGUAAAUUUUUGAAACCGUUUGUCGCGUGUACUGUAAUUUUUGUCCAUCAAGCUUGACGGGAAUAUCUAGUUUUUAUUAAAAUCUUUUUCUGUUCCGCGGUCCGUCAACGAUCGGUAAUUAAAAUUUAAGUUCAACGUUUAGAGUACCUUCCAUGAGUUUAUCAUUCAAUCUUCCGUAUCUUGCCACAACAAUUUUCGAUCAAGCUUGAUGCGAUCGAAAAAUCGCGUACACGUACGUACGAUAAUUAUUGCAUUAUGUUAAAACAAUUUUCACCUACCUUCAGUCUAAAAAAAGUAAAAGAAAACGAACACCCGAGACGAGGCGAUGAGAAAACCGUUGAAAUUUCUUGAAAAUUCACCAAACAAUUGAGAAGAAAAUCCGAAACCUUGGCAAUUUGUCGAAAACUUUGAAAUGCCGCGGCAAAGUUUGUACACGUAAUAUACUAGUCCUGUAUAAAAUAAUACCGCGUUGUAUAAAUGACGCAGAGACGCGUGUAUAUUAACAUCGUAGAUACACAGGAAUGGAAAGGCAAGGCAAGGCUAGGAGAGAGAAAUAGAGAAAUAGAGAGAGAGAGAGAGAGAGAGAGAGAGAGAGAUAGAGAAAGGGAGAAAGACAAACAAUAACGCAAACUAGGGAAAUUGAAGGAAUCAAUGGAAAAGUGGUCAAUUUGUAAACAAUUAACUAGGAAACCUCACACUAUAUAACAUAUGCAGGCUGUGAACAUCUCUGGAAUCAGAAUAAUGAUUAAAUGAAAAAAAAAAAAAACAAACAAACAAAAAAAAAAACAAGAAAAAAAAACAAAGUAAAGUAUCAUGAAAAAAUUGAACAAAAAUAAAUUGAAGCUAUUGGCGGUGAAAAGAGCGAGACAGAAAGACAAAGAGAGAGAGAGAGCGAGUUGAAAGGAUGGAAAGACAGUAUGACAAAAUUUUGUUUAAUAAAGACGAAACUUGAAUAAAUAUUGAAAAAUUACAGAACGUUAAUACAAUUAUUGUUUCGUCGAAAGACGUAAUCAUCGAUAAAAUUGCGUGCAGAUUUUCAACGUGUGUGUAGCGUGCGUUGUGCUGCCCCACCUUUGUAACAAAAAAAAAAAAAAAAAAAAACACAAAAGAAAAAGAAAAAAAAAAGAAGGCACAAAUUAAACACGAGAAAAAUGAAAAGCGUGAUUGUCGAAUGAAAGAAGAAAUAAGGAAAAUAAUAAUAAAUAACAAUAAUAAUAUUUUGUCGAUUAGAAAGAUGGAGAAGUAAAAUUUGAAAAAGGUAAAGAAAGGAGAGAAAAAAUAGAAAAAAAAAAAAAUUAUUUUGGGAACGAAAUCAACUCAACGAAAACUGCCAAUUUUGUAAUAUUAACAAGUAUUGUGUAUAAUAUUAUAUUAGCGGAAGUGCAUUACUUAUAUUAUAUAUAUAUAAAUAUUAUACUAUACUGUAUAUGUAAAAAGACGAGACAUGUAAUAGGAGAUAUGUAAUAACGUUAUAAUAUUAUUAUGUGCGUACCGUGUACGUAACUGGAUUUUGUUCAAGUCGUUGAUUAAUAUGAAAAAUAGGGCGGACACAUAUCAAUUUCGUUUCACGUAAAAAAAAAAAAUAAAAAAAUAAAAUAAAUAAAAUAAACUACAGAUCUGACGUUCGUAAUAUUGUAAAAUCGCGCGCUUGCUUCGAGCCGAACUUUUCGAUUUUUUCCACUGACUUUACUUGUUAUCCGCAAUUGAUCUAGCUUCUCCUCACUGUUGUCUCGUGAUAAUAUUACGCUCGCAUGAUGUGUAACGUGAAAAUGAAGAAAAACGAAAAAAAAAAACAAUAAACAUAAAAAAUACGUGUGAGCAAAGAAGAUGAAAAAAUUAGAUUACUGUAAUUUCCCUUUUGGAAUAAAGUUGUCUAAAAUGCAGUAAAAUAAUUGGGUGAUGGGCCAGUAUUGUAUUAGCUUUUUCUCAACGCGCGUCUUGUAUUUUGAACUGUGCAGGCUCUGAAAUAAAAUGUAAUUUUUCAAAUAUAAAAACGUUGAUAAAUAAUUGGCAACUUUCGUCACGAUAAGAUAUUUCGUUUUCAUUUUUUCAAAUGUCGGAUCAAUUUUUCUUCUUCAGCACCUUCAUAGAUUGUACAGUUUUUGCGCGAUUCGUUUGGGGGGUGAAAAAAAAAAAAUAAAAUUCUUCAAAUGUUUCGUUUUUCUCCAUCUAUGAUUUUUCUGCCUUUCGCUAAGGCGAAAGUUUUGAUCACGGUAUCGAGAUUACAAAUUUUUAAUAAAAAUUUGACACGUAUUAAUGAUGAGUGAAAAGUUUUUUUUUUUUUUUUUUUUUUUUUAGAAAUUUUCUUCGUUCUCUUGAUAUUCGUUUUUAUAUAUAUUUUUUUAUUUUUCUUUAUUUCACUUUACUCGAAUGUGGUGAAAGGUAGGACAGCGAUAAAAGUUGUUGAUCGAUAUGACGACUAUUGGCAAAGCGGCAAAUUUGGAGCAAAUAAUGAAAAUGCAACACGUUUCAUCUUCGACGCAUUAUACACGGGUCAAUGCUAUCGUGAAAUAAUACGAUUGAUCGUGCGACCCGAUCCAAAUUUGUCCUGAAAUGGAAAAACAUGAAAAUUGAAUUCGAUUUGGGAUAAUUGGAAAACUUAGAGUCAUAAGCAGAUUGAUAUGUAAGAUGAAAGAAAGAAAGAAGGAAGGAAGGAAGAGAAGAAAUAAAGAAAAAGAAAAAAAAGUACACAAACGACAAAAAUAUAUAUACAUAAAAAAAAAAAAAAAAAAGUGCAUACACAUAUUUUCCUCGCGUAUAAUAUGCAUAUUAUUAAUUUUCGUGGCUUAAUAAUCGUCUAUGUGAAAGUGGUUUGUAUUAUAUAUUAUAUAUUUGCGCAAAUUGUGAUUGGAGAAUAAUAAGUUAUAUUAUAAAUCGAUAUAUAGCUCGUACACACACACACACACACACACACACACACACACAUUGAAUUAAAUAUAUAAAAAUAUAUGUAUAUUCGUACAUAUGGUAACAGUGAAGGAAAACAACACUUUUUAAGAGGCAUGACACAGGAAAAAAAAUCAAACGAAAAGAGAGAGAAUAAACAAACAAAUUCGGCAAAAAUUAUACAUGACGAGUGAAUCGACAAGCAUUUGAUAAAAAAGUAACAAAAAAAAAAAAACAAAAAAAAAAAAAAAAGAAAAAUUGAAUUUAUAAAAUGAACAAAAAUAAAGUAAUGAUAGUUUUUGUCUUAAAAAAUAAAUGUUACAAAUUAUAUUAGACACUAUUAACAAAUUGAUGAUAUAUCAACGCUCAGGGCAUUUCGAAAAUAUUGCGUGAUCGAAAUCGCAGAUGUUGCGUGAAACGAUCAAUUUUUAGUGGAAAAUCGCUUUGAUCCGAUGUCAGUUGUAGAAGACAGAAUAUGAAAACAAAUUGAACGAACAGAUGAUUGGUUAAAAAUUAAGGAGUUCCCAAAAAUUACAGUUUCGAUCUAUCAUUUUUACGAUAUGCCUCUUGCGUUGUAUAUUUUCCAUUAUUAUGGCUGUUGCUGGUAAAAUUUCGACUUGGUGAAUCAGAGACAAGGACACACGCCUCAAACCUCAGUCAAAUAACGAUAACGCGUAAAUAUAUUUAUUAGACAUAUGAAAAAAAUAUAUACAAUGUUUCGUGCAUCUAUAGGCUUGCUGUGGGUGUAUUAUAUGAGUACAGAAAAGAGAGAGACAAAGAAUUUUUUUAAAACUAAAUUAGGGUAGUUUUCAGAUGAAUAAUAAUGAUAAAAAAAAAAAAAAACAAGAAAACAAAAAAAAACAAACAAACAAACAAACAAAAAAUCACAUACAAAUCAAUGCUCAACGACAACGUCUGUAAAAUUAAUAAUAUUAACGAUGAUAGUUUAUGGUAAUGACGUAACAAUAACGAUAGUAGUAAUAACGAUAAUAAUAAGAGUAACGGUACGUAUAAUAAUGACGUAAACAGUAAUAAUAAUUGUAACAAUAACGAUAACAAUAAUAAUGAUAACGCCGAUGAAAAGAAAAUGAAAGCAACAAGGCAGGGAAACCGAAUGGGUAACGCUGUGAGUAAGCAAUGUUUUCUUUAAACCAUGUGGAAAUUUUACACGCAACAAUCGUGUGUUAAAAUUAGGAUUUUCCAAUUUUUAAACCGUAAGAUUGAUAUUAUAUAACAUAUAUUAUAUACAUGAAUAUUAUAUAUAUAUAUACGAUAAAGCAGAUAGGUGUGUAGUAGUUUUUAACAAAUUUUUAGCGUGUAUAUAUGUCCAAUUGAAAUGAGAGGUAUAGCGAGGAGUAAAAAACAAAACCGAACAAACAAAUUAUGAAAACAAAAAAGUAAAUACAGAAAUCUUAACUUUUUAUAUGCCGUUAUUUGACGAAGUUUUUUUUGUUUUUUUCUCCUUUAUUCGGCUUUUUUUUUCCCUCUAUUUUAUUACAAACCUUAUUACUUUCAUCUUAAUUCAGUUCCGUUCCACGGCUAAUAUAUUCUUCUCAUUUCUUUUAUGUUCUCUCUCUCUUUUUCUCUCUCUCUCUCUCUCUGUUUUACCCGAGUUUCUUUAUUUCGUUGGAAAUCUUUCGUUUCCCUCUGGCGUUACAUCGUUUAACGAUUAAUUAUCAUUUGAUUCGCGUCUUGUCAGGGAAAAGAAAUACGAGGGGGGCAAAAAAAAAAAAAAAAAAAAAACAAAAAAAAAAAUAUACCUACAAAAUAGUACGAACAAGAAUCGAAUUAAACAAUUUCGUGAAAUUAUUCAUAGAAAUCAACAUUGCAAUUGAUUCACUGCAAACCGAAAAGACGAAAAGACUUGGAACGAUGCACGCCGAGGUUUGAUUUGAGAAAACGUUGUGUUGAAUAUUUAUUUAUAUUAUAACGGUAUCAUUUUACUUACAAAUAUAUUGUUAUACCCUGUAAUAUUAGAAUCAUGAAAGGCCAAACCGCUUUGAAUGAGAUAAUCCCUUACCGAUGGAAAGAGUUUGUGGAAAGCGAUGGGGAAUAAAAACUGGAGAAGAAAGUGGUAAUAAAAAGCGCACCAAUUUCGGCCGAAAUGGAAAUUAAAAGUAAAACGAUAAAUAAAAAAAAAAAAAUAAUCUAUUUUUUGCAAACA